CAGAGGCCCACGCCCGCCCACCCUGUCUCAAGUCUGUGCUCCCCAGGUUCCCUGGGGACCAGGUUUGGCCCCAAGGCUAAAGGGACAGGAGGGGGAUUGCUGUGGGCAACUUCCAGGUCACCUCCUUGAAGGCAAGGUAGAUUCUUUCCCGCUUAGCAGCCCCGCAGUGAAGACAGCCUCGUGGUGAGGGGAGCAGAAGGCCCUCCCUUUGCCUGAGUCCCCAGGUGGCCGCACCCGAGCCCGCAUAUCACCAUGAAUGUCUCUGGGAUCUCUCAUUAUAGCUGCUUGUCACCCCCCUGAUGAAUGCCAUGGCAAUCAUAUCAUCAGGACAACCUUAGAACGGUCAAGGAAAAUAAGAAUGGAGGCCACAGUGGAAUCUGCUGGCUUUUCCUUUGCCCAGCAUUUAUCUGCAUUCCUGCAGCUCAGCCCUAGAGAAUGGACCUAUGGCACGUGGCCCAGUAGAGGCUCUUCCCAAUGCUCCCUACCAACCUCUGGUCCCGGCGUGUGGCACAGGGAACCCAACAGCGCACACUCCUGUCUCCAAAGGAGCCAAUGGGAGACCUGCUUUGGACUUACACUCGAGCUAUCGGAAAAAAUGAGGACACAGCAGGUGCGAUGUAAGCUGGUGAAGCUGGCUGCGUCCAACGCCCCUUAGGAAGAGCGUCCCUGAGACUAAAGCCACGUGAGGGACAAGAAGAGGAGAGAGGCAGACACUUGGCACUCCCAUUUCUCACCAGCUGGGCUGAGCAUCCAUGGUGUAUGAGAAACUGAGUGUGGAAUACCUCUUGACCGGGAUGAGGUGAGCCAAAAUUGCUUUAAGCGGAAGCAGCUUGAAUUGGUCAUCUGUUUCUUGUGAUCAAAAUCAUUGUUAUUCACUACCCAUUCCGUAGUUAAGAUUAUUCUCUCAGGAUAGGUUGGUUAGUAAGGGGAUGAGCGAGGCAAAGAGUCUCCCUUUCAGGAAAUAACCCACCUAACUGGUAGUGACUCCCUGAGAUGCUGCGUCCGGAGGGUCCCACCCCUGUGUGCGAAUUGAUAGAAGGGACAAAGGGGUCUUUUAAUGAUCCUGGUCACUGAUAUUAUACAAGGAAUGGCUUGCGUGUGCUAGGUAUUUGCCACCCUUGCUUUAAGACAUUCCUCCUUUAACGAUGGCAUAAGUCUAGACAGGCGAGGGGGAGGAUUGUAAAAUUAUGGUAUAUUGGUAAAUUCUUUGUGGGCACAUUUUUAUCAGUUUUAAAGAGAGCCAUGGACCAAUUAGUCCUCUCCACGCAGCAUUUAGGGGCCAUAAUUCAUGCUUUCAAUUGACUUCUUUUUUUUCCAG
Long non-coding RNA from Pipistrellus kuhlii (Kuhl's pipistrelle), 1318 nucleotides. RefSeq lists it as uncharacterized. The record is from RefSeq and is a predicted model, not a curated record. NCBI's taxonomy places the organism in Eukaryota, Metazoa, Chordata, Mammalia, Chiroptera, Vespertilionidae. The transcript is spliced from 2 exons.